UUUAGAUGAUGAAUACUUACUCUUGGUUCGUGUUUAUGACACUUUGUGAUUAUGUGUAAAUUAAAUUCUGAUAAA
This is a small nucleolar RNA of Cimex lectularius (bed bug), 75 nucleotides long. RefSeq annotates it as small nucleolar RNA SNORD18. The transcript has a single exon. NCBI's taxonomy places the organism in Eukaryota, Metazoa, Arthropoda, Insecta, Hemiptera, Cimicidae. The record is from RefSeq and is a predicted model, not a curated record.